GACGAACGCUGGCGGCGUGCUUAACACAUGCAAGUCGAACGGUGAACGAGGGAGCUUGCUCCCUCCGGAUCAGUGGCGAACGGGUGAGUAACACGUGAGCAAUCUGCUCCGAACUCUGGGAUAAGCGUUGGAAACGACGUCUAAUACCGGAUACGACGCGGGAGGGCAUCCUCUCCGCGUGGAAAGAACUUCGGUUCGGGAUGGGCUCGCGGCCUAUCCGCUUGUUGGUGGGGUAACGGCUCACCAAGGCGUCGACGGGUAGCCGGCCUGAGGGGGUGACCGGCCACACUGGGACUGAGACACGGCCCAGACUCCUACGGGAGGCAGCAGUGGGGAAUAUUGCACAAUGGGCGCAAGCCUGAUGCAGCAACGCCGCGUGAGGGACGACGGCCUUCGGGUUGUAAACCUCUUUUAGCAGGGAAGAAGCGAAAGUGACGGUACCUGCAGAAAAAGCACCGGCUAACUACGUG
Molecule: ribosomal RNA, 470 nt
Filed under: uncultured bacterium
Lineage: Bacteria
Description: partial 16S ribosomal RNA
Rfam family: Bacterial small subunit ribosomal RNA
Source: RNAcentral